UACGUCGGGUGCGAGCGUUGCCCGGAUUUAUUGGGCGUAAAGGGCGCGUAGGCGGUCACGCACGUCCGUUGUGAAAUCGCUCGGCUCAACUGGGCGGGGUCAGCGGAUACGGCGUGGCUGGAGCAAGCUAGGGGGCAAUGGAAUUCCCGGUGUAGUGGUGGAAUGCGUAGAUAUCGGGAGGAACACCAGUGGCGAAGGCGGUUGCCUGGAGCUUUGCUGACGCUGAUGCGCGAAAGCGUGGGGAGCGAUCCGG
This 253-nucleotide ribosomal RNA is filed under the name uncultured bacterium. Its description in RNAcentral is "partial 16S ribosomal RNA". It matches the Rfam family "Bacterial small subunit ribosomal RNA", at positions 524 to 776 of the family's 1533-position model. The record is from RNAcentral.